RNAcentral lists this ribosomal RNA (624 nucleotides) under Flavobacterium sp. Ri2Pw_5922. RNAcentral's name for it is "bacterial SSU rRNA". It matches the Rfam family "Bacterial small subunit ribosomal RNA", at positions 388 to 1013 of the family's 1533-position model. The record is from RNAcentral. Lineage: Bacteria; Pseudomonadati; Bacteroidota; Flavobacteriia; Flavobacteriales; Flavobacteriaceae.
CCAGCCAUGCCGCGUGCAGGAUGACGGUCCUAUGGAUUGUAAACUGCUUUUGUACGGGAAGAAACACUGGUUCGUGAACCAGCUUGACGGUACUGUAACAAUAAGGAUCGGCUAACUCCGUGCCAGCAGCCGCGGUAAUACGGAGGAUCCGAGCGUUAUCCGGAAUCAUUGGGUUUAAAGGGUCCGUAGGCGGUUUAAUAAGUCAGUGGUGAAAGCCCAUCUUUCAACUGUGGAACGGCCAUUGAUACUGUUAAACUUGAAUUAUUAGGAAGUAACUAGAAUAUGUAGUGUAUCGGUGAAAUGCUUAUAGAUUACAUGGAAUACCAAUUGCGAAGGCAGGUUACUACUAAUUGAUUGACGCUGAUGGACGAAAGCGUGGGUAGCGAACACGAUUACAUACCCUGGUAGUCCACGCCGUAAACGAUGGAUACUAUCUGUUGGACGCAAUUUCAGUGGCUAAGCGAAAGUGAUAAGUAUCCCACCUGGGGAGUACGUUCGCAAGAAUGAAACUCAAACGAAUUGACGGGGGCCCGCACAAGCGGUGGAGCAUGUGGUUUAAUUCGAUGAUACGCGAGGAACCUUACCAAGGCUUAAAUGUAGAUUGACCGGUUUGGAAACAGAUCU